GAUGAACGCUGGCGGCGUGCCUAAUACAUGCAAGUCGAGCGAACAGACGAGGAGCUUGCUCCUCUGACGUUAGCGGCGGACGGGUGAGUAACACGUGGAUAACCUACCUAUAAGACUGGGAUAACUUCGGGAAACCGGAGCUAAUACCGGAUAAUAUAUUGAACCGCAUGGUUCAAUAGUGAAAGACGGUUUUGCUGUCACUUAUAGAUGGAUCCGCGCCGCAUUAGCUAGUUGGUAAGGUAACGGCUUACCAAGGCAACGAUGCGUAGCCGACCUGAGAGGGUGAUCGGCCACACUGGAACGGAGACACGGACCAGACUACUACGGGAGGCAGCAGUAGGGAAUAUUCCGCAAUGGGCGAAAGCAUGACGGAGCAACGCCGCGUGAGUGAUGAAGGUCUUCGGAUCGUAAAACUCUGUUAUUAGGGAAGAACAAAUGUGUAAGUAAAUAUGCACGUCUUGACGGUACCUAAUCAGAAAGCCACGGCUAACUACGUG
Molecule: ribosomal RNA, 497 nt
Filed under: uncultured bacterium
Lineage: Bacteria
Description: partial 16S ribosomal RNA
Rfam family: Bacterial small subunit ribosomal RNA
Source: RNAcentral